UCASRCCYCCUAACACAUGCAAGUCGAGCGAAGGGAGUACUACGGUACGAACUUAGCGGCGGACGGGUGAGUAACGCGUGGACAAUCUACCCUGUAGACUGGGAUAACACCAAAGGGGUSCUAAUACCGGAUAAUGUCGAGAAGCGGCAUCGCUUUUCGAAGAAAGGAGGGAAUCCGCUAUAGGAGGAGUCCGCGUCCCAUUAGCUAGUUGGUGAGGGUAACGGCCCACCAAGGCGACGAUGGGUASCCGGCCUGAGAGGGUGAACGGCCACACUGGAACUGAGACACGGUCCAGACUCCUACGGGAGGCAGCAGUGGGGAAUAUUGUGCAAUGGGGGAAACCCUGACACAGCGACGCCGCGUGAGUGAAGAAGGCCUUCGGGUCGUAAAGCUCAAUAGUAUGGGAAGAAAGAAAUGACGGUACCAUACGAAAGCCCCGGCUAACUACGUGCCAGCAGCCGCGGUAAU
Molecule: ribosomal RNA, 468 nt
Filed under: uncultured bacterium
Lineage: Bacteria
Description: bacterial SSU rRNA
Rfam family: Bacterial small subunit ribosomal RNA
Source: RNAcentral